UGAUGUUUCUGCAGAAGUUUUCCCCCUUGGUCGGUGGCGGAGCUGCUGAGCGCGAUAGUAGCAGCUCCGGCGGCAGCAACAUUGACUACGAGGAAUGGCGGCGGCUGCCGCAGGACCUGCAGCAUCCCAGAGGAAGUCGUGCAGUUUCUAGACAAGAAGCAUCCAAACCACUAUCAAGUCUACAAUCUAUGCAGUGAAAGAGCUUAUGAUCCUAAGCACUUCCAUAUUAGGGUCAGUAGAAUCAUGAUUGAUGAUCAUUAUGUCCCCACUCUACAUAAGAUGGUGGUAUUCUCCAAGGAAGUAAAUGAGUGGAUGACUCAAGAUCCUGAAAACAUCAUAGUGAUUCACUGUAAAGGAGGCAAAGUCUUAUAAAAUCUGCUUUAGGAGACAGAACUGGGCUUGAAGCCUUGUCUUUCAAAGACAAAAUCCAUGCAAGACCAAGUGUUGGAGCAGGCGAUGGAUAUGAUCUAAAAGUCAAAAUAGUGAUGGAGAAAAAGGUUGUCUUUUCCUGUACUUACUUAAGAAAUUGUUAGGUAUUUCAUGACACUGAAACAGAGCAAUAAUUGAUGUAUUCAACAGUCCACCUCUGUAUGAUGAUGUGAAAGUGCAAUUUUUCUCUUUGGCUAAGGAAGCAAGAAAGUGGAGGGGCGGGCAGAGCCAGAUCCAGUGGUUUCACUCAUGCAAGACAGAAGUCACUGUCUAUCCUGUGGCUGGAGGGGCUACUUUGCUCAGAAGACACAGGUCUUCCCCAGAAUCUCACGUGGCUGCUUACUGUUUCCCUGUCUUCUCUCCCCAUUUUGUCCUUUGCUAAGGAAACUGAACUGAAUUCCAGGUCUUCUCUAAUAGAGUGUCUCUCCUUCAACAGGGAACAAAACUACAGUUGCCUGUAGUUUUUGCUUCUGUUCAGUCUCCAUCAUGGCAUGCCAUACUCUCCUGGUUUGUGCCCUGCUUGUUUCUUUACUGCCUUCCUGCCUGCCCUUUCUGUGCUGGAGGCUCAUCCCAUUCAUGCUCAGCCCUCCUCGCUGUCUACACUGUCUUCUUGGGCAAUCGUAUCUAGUCCCAAGCCUUUUUAAAAAACAAGCUCUACCCAUCAUGGUGGAAUUCCUGUCUAUAAAAGGGCACACCUUCAGACCUCCAGGCACCUCCAGAGAACAGUGCUGUGCACAAGAAACCGAAUUCAGUUGUGUGGGACCUGCAGCUGCAAUCAGGUUUCAAACUCCUACUGAAAUAACUAAGACUGCCCUUUGCAAUCUUGAAGCUUAUAUAAUAAUUUUAAGUGGUAUAAAAUAAAUCAACAUUCAAAGCAGGGAUAGCUAAACAUCCCAGUGGUUUCCAAAUUCUGUUUAGUCUCUAUAUAAUAAAUACCCAAGGCAAGACCAACAAAGAGGCAAAGUCUGAUGUUUUGGGAAGAUUUGGACAGAGAAAGGUGGGUUCCCUUGCAUCUUCGCAGACAUUUCCGACCCUUCCUAAAACUCCUCAAGUUCAUCUGGCUCAGACAACCUCUUCCAAUACUCUGCUUUUUGCUAAUGAAAGAAAAGCUAAAUCUUGGAUCAUAAGCAGCAUCUACAGUUUCAGUGCAGCAUGUCUGCUGACGAGAGGUAGCACUGCCAGCUGCAUCUGAACAGCAUUCUCCUGGAGAAAACUGAAACAGAAGGGCGGUUCAUUCUCAGUGGUGGAUGAUGAGCAGGUCUCCUCUGUGGUGUGCAUAUGUGGUUUCUAAGUUUUAUAUGAUGACAAUGUAUAACUUCAUAAAUAAAAGGAAAGCAGUUAUUUUUAAAAAAGGAAAUGUUCUUCCACAUAAGGCACCAGUAAAAUUGUGACCAUACAACAGUAGAUUUUUUUUAAUUUUUAUUUUUUUGUAGAGAUGAGGAUCUUGCUGUGUUGCCCAGGCUGGUUUUGAACUCUCAGCCUCAAGCCAUUUUCCUGCCUUUGCCUCCCAAAGUGCUGGGAUUACAGGCAUGAGCCACCAUGUCUUGCCAGUUUUGUGGGGUUUUUUUAAACAAAUAAAAAAAGUGUGUGUCCUUGACUCACCUCAGCUUUGCCUGCUUGUCCAAUCCAGCCACUUUCCGCACCACCUGCUGGCAGAAGCCGUAGCACAUGAAGAGGACUGAGUUCUCAGCGAUGUUGGCGAUUAGUGCUGGACUGGUACCCUUGUAGAAGCCACGGAAGCCCACCUGGGAGUAAGUCUUCAGGCAGCAGUCGGUGAGGCCCCGGUACAGGUCAGGGAACGUCUGCAUCUUCACUUUCAUUGUGUCAAAGGGCUGCCCGGUCAGUACACAUGCUGUACCUCCUGCAAUCAGGACAGAUGACUGCUCUAGUACGAGGCUACAGUUCCAUUAUCCAUGGAAGGAAGGCACAGGCAGCCUACCCCAGAACUUACCCCUGCUUCGGUUCAUUUCAACCUCUUUUCCUCCAAAACCUUCCAGCCAUGUCCAGUAAACAAUUUAGAGCAGGUCCUUGAUGUGCCUGGCAUCUAAGUCCCACCCUGAAGGAGCUCAUGCCAGGCAGGGGAGAGAGACAGACAUGUGUUCAACAGCGGCAAACAGUGCAGUGAAUAUGUAGGAGCCUGGGCAAUAGGGUCAGAGGGACUAUGGCUUUGCUGUGAGAUCCUGGACAAGCCAUGUAACUUCUGAGCCUCAGCUCCUCAUCCAUGCCACCUCACAGGGUUAGCGUGAGGAUUAAAUAAAAAUGGAGGAGACAGGCUUGGCACAGCACCGGCUACGUAAUCAGUAAACAGCAGCUACUGUGUGCACAAGAAACGGAAACCACAGAAAGGGAGGGGAGACCUGGGAAGACUUCAUCGCUCACUUUGCCUAAUGCCCAGUGGGACUGAUCAGACCCGGCACCACGGAAAGGAAACAAGGAGUCUGGCUAAUUAAUCCCCAAAGAGCUAAAUAUUUCAUUCUAUAGAAAAACCUCUUUAAUUUGAGCUCUACCGAUUAAUAACGUGUAUGUAAAUAGAGAAUGAACUGAAAUUUAUUUAUGCUUAAAUCCUUUAUUUAUAUACUUCUAUAAGAUUAAAUACAGCAGAGUCUACAUUGCACAAAAUAAUUUUUUUUUUUUUUUUGAGAUGGUGUCUUGCUCUGUCACCCAGGCUGGAGUGCAGUGGUGCAAUCUCAGCUCACUGCAAACUCCACCUCCCAGGUUCAAGGAAUUCCUGUGCCUCAGCUUCCCAAGUAGCUGGGAUUACAGGCACCCACCACCACGCCUGGCUAAUUUUUGUACUUUUCAUAGAGAUGGGGUUUCACCAUGUUGGCCAGGGUGGUCUCUAACUCCUGGCCUCAAAUGAUCCUCCUGCCUUGGCCUCCCAAAAUGCUGGGAGGCAUAAGCCACCAUGCCCAGCCACGUGAAAUCAUUUUAGUAAAAAUUCUAAACAGAAGAGAAGAAUGAACUGUAACCACCCUACAACAUCCCCACACCCUGUAGUAGGGUUGGCGUCGUGGGAACUGCCAGUGGUUAGUGUUUACCGUCUCCUUCUGGACCUGAGAGGAGCUCUUAAAGCUUCAUCAAAAUGCAAAAGAAGGCUUACAGAAAAUAUUUAAGAAAUGCAACUUCCUGAAUUUGAUGUUAUACACAGUUAUUCCAUCUAAACUCUGGAAAGUGGAGUUGGGGGAAGGGACAUUAAGAAUAAUUCUCAAUUAUUUAUUGGCAAAUAAGCCAACAAUUCCAGAGUCUGAAAACUGCUUGAUCUCUUUUUUAAGCAACAAGCAAUAUGAUCUCUGUGAGCCCAUCAUUACUGUUCAUUUCUUACAGGAGAGGAAUGACACACUUCCGCCUUUAAUUGCCAAAUUAUCCCCAAUUCUGAAUUAGUGGAAUAUAAUUUAAUAUGAUUUUAUUAUGAUUAAUCCUGAGUCAUUCUCUCCCAGGUAAUGCUGGGCUAGGAUAAAAAGAAAUCUGAAUUACAUUAAAAUAAUUUAAUUAUUCCAAGAGAAAAGGUGACAGAAUGUUUUAAGUGGGUGCGUAAUUCAGAGAGCCUAGAUGCAGAUAAGCUGAAUAAAGCAUUUAAUUCAGCACAUUCAUAUUUUAACUUGAUCAUCUUGAACAGUUCAGGCAUCACAGGUUACUAGAAUACACAUUUGCUGUGUAGCUGGGACAGUUACAUUUCCAACAGGGAGAAGGGGGAGGCUAAUGAAUGUACAAAUGCUAGCAACAACUGUCUCCCGUCCUCUGCAAGGGUAAGCUAACUUCCCGUGUAAUUUACCACAAAUGAUAUGGUCACGGCGCUCACUGUGCCCUCAAGUGAGAGAAGACUGUUCUGAACACCAGUACCAACCACAGAGACUGACACCUAGUAGGUUCUCAAAGAUCGAUCAAGUCCAUAAAGCCAUGAAUAAAUAUUAUAUUUCUCCACUUGCCUAGAAA
RNAcentral lists this long non-coding RNA (4362 nucleotides) under Homo sapiens (human). RNAcentral describes it as "non-protein coding lnc-ELF1-2:3". Lineage: Eukaryota; Metazoa; Chordata; Mammalia; Primates; Hominidae. The record is from RNAcentral.